AGUUCUCGUUGAUGAUCGGUGCUUGCACCGAGAUUCAACAUGGAACGAGUGGCGGACGGGUGAGUAACACGUGGGUAACCUGCCCUUAAGUGGGGGAUAACAUUUGGAAACAGAUGCUAAUACCGCAUAGAUCCAAGAACCGCAUGGUUCUUGGCUGAAAGAUGGCGUAAGCUAUCGCUUUUGGAUGGACCCGCGGCGUAUUAGCUAGUUGGUGAGGUAAUGGCUCACCAAGGCGACGAUACGUAGCCGAACUGAGAGGUUGAUCGGCCACAUUGGGACUGAGACACGGCCCAAACUCCUACGGGAGGCAGCAGUAGGGAAUCUUCCACAAUGGACGCAAGUCUGAUGGAGCAACGCCGCGUGAGUGAAGAAGGCUUUCGGGUCGUAAAACUCUGUUGUUGGAGAAGAAUGGUCGGCAGAGUAACUGUUGUCGGCGUGACGGUAUCCAACCAGAAAGCCACGGCUAACUACGUGCCAGCAGCCGCGGUAAUACGUAGGUGGCAAGCGUUAUCCGGAUUUAUUGGGCGUAAAGCGAGCGCAGGCGGUUUUUUAAGUCUGAUGUGAAAGCCCUCGGCUUAACCGAGGAAGCGCAUCGGAAACUGGGAAACUUGAGUGCAGAAGAGGACAGUGGAACUCCAUGUGUAGCGGUGAAAUGCGUAGAUAUAUGGAAGAACACCAGUGGCGAAGGCGGCUGUCUGGUCUGUAACUGACGCUGAGGCUCGAAAGCAUGGGUAGCGAACAGGAUUAGAUACCCUGGUAGUCCAUGCCGUANACGAUGAAUGCUAGGUGUUGGAGGGUUUCCGCCCUUCAGUGCCGCAGCUAACGCAUUA
Molecule: ribosomal RNA, 830 nt
Filed under: uncultured bacterium
Lineage: Bacteria
Description: bacterial SSU rRNA
Rfam family: Bacterial small subunit ribosomal RNA
Source: RNAcentral